UGGCGAAGGAAGAAGACAAUAAUGACCUCCCGGCUUUCGUGAUAUGGAAGAAACACGCGGUGAUUUAGUUAGGUUUAGAUUUUGUCGACACGGCUGCAAGCUUUUUUGUUUCUAGGUUAUAAAUUAGGGUUGGUUUAUAAUUAAACUCAGCCAUAACAUAUGCAUAACUCAGUUGUAAGUGUGCAUAAUUCAGCCGUAACUUAUCUGAAUGGUAUAAGCCAAUCGUAACGUUCCUAUAACUCAGCCGUUAAGUGUAAUAUGUUUCUCGACGUUUCGUAUUUUGGGUGGGAAAAAAAUAUUUUGGGUGGAAAAAAAUCAUUCCUUCA
Molecule: long non-coding RNA, 326 nt
Filed under: Brassica napus (rape)
Lineage: Eukaryota; Viridiplantae; Streptophyta; Magnoliopsida; Brassicales; Brassicaceae
Description: long non-coding RNA (BNAP_LNC014223)
Source: RNAcentral